Entelurus aequoreus (snake pipefish) is the source of this 1768-nucleotide long non-coding RNA. RefSeq lists it as uncharacterized. NCBI's taxonomy places the organism in Eukaryota, Metazoa, Chordata, Actinopteri, Syngnathiformes, Syngnathidae. The transcript is spliced from 3 exons. The record is from RefSeq and is a predicted model, not a curated record.
GUUGCCUAGGACCCCGCCUGAACCCCUAGCGGUGGUCACGGUGCUGCCUGAUCAAAAAUGGCACAUUAACCUUACAACAGUAGGGAUGGAACGAUAGACGGUAAUAAUGAUGACGGUGGCAAAAAUCUCAACGUAUUUCUUCGACAACUGGAAGAAAGAGAAGACAUAUGGAGACAUUUUACCUUUGCAAUGAUGAACAACAAGAUACGUUGUAAACCCUGUGGCUCGAUUUUCUCCGGUAAAAAUACAACCAACUUGAAGAACUUUCUGCAGGCUAGUCAUCAGGACAUCUACGCAACAAACAAAUCUCCCUGAGCAGCAGGGGUGGACCUCCAGGAUGGAGCAGGAUAAACCACAGCACCCUCACAUUAAAACGGAAGAGGAAGAACCACAUCUUACCCACAUUAAAGAGGAAGUUGAUGAGCUACAGCCCCCACACAUUAAAGAUGAAGAGGAGGAACACAGCAUCAGUCAGAAUGGAGACCAUCUUAAAGGACAAGAGGAGGUUGAUGACACCAAGAUGAUAUUGACUGGUGUCAUUGUGAAGAGUGAAGAUGAUGAGGUCAAAAGUGAAAGUGAGAAGAAGAGAGAAGUGGGGUCUCCAAGCAGCAGCUCAACUCAACAAAUGACAACAGAAGCUGAUGGAGACCACUGUGGAGGAUCACAGGCAGACAAGCUCUUAGCUCCACUAUCAGAUCCUGACACUGAUGAUGAAGACUCUGAAGCUGAUACAACAUGUCACACUGACAACACACACUUUGAAUGUUCUCACUGUGGCAAAACUUUUAAUCACCGUUGUAAUCUGAGAACACACAUGAGAACACACACUGGUGAAAAACCUUUUUCCUGUUUAAGAUGUGGUAAAUGUUUUACACAAAAUCAUCAUUUGAAAAGACACACAAGAACGCACACUGGAGAAAAACCUUUUAUCUGUUCACUCUGUGGUAGAGGUUUUGUACAAAAUAUUGAUUUGAAGAGACACAUGAUAACACACUCUGGAGAAAAACCUGUUAUCUGCUCAAUCUGUGGUAAAGGUUUCGCACGAAAUAGUUAUUUGAAAAGACACAAGACAAUACACACUAGAGAAAAACUUUUUAGCUGUUCAAUCUGUGGGAAAGGUUUCACACAAACUAGUCAUUUGAAAGCACACAUGACAAGACACACAGGUAAAAAAAAUAUUUUCCUGUUCAAUCUUUGCUAAAGGUGAAAUUUCACAUGAGAACACACUGGUGAGGAAGUGUGAGUUGCAGUGUGUGUGUGAUGAAAGAUUCUCUCAAAAGUACAAUUGUAAGAAACUGCAUGAAUGAAGCUGCAUGUUUUUCAGUAAACUGUCAAGACUUUGUUAACUUUGACUUUAUGUGGGCUCUGUACCGAGGAUGUCGUUGUGGCUUGUACAGCCCUUUGAGACACUUGUGAUUUAGGGCUAUAUAAAUAAACAUUGAUUGAUUGACUUUCGAUCAACAUCACCACAUACAGUGCAUCAGGUUAAGUAUUCACAGCGCUUUAAUUUUUUCAGAUUUUAUGUUUCAGCCUUAUCCCAAAAUGGAGUAUUGAGCAAAGGCUGUGAAUACUUAUGUACUUGUGAUCUUUGUAUGUUUUUAGUAUGUGCAUUAGUACACAACAUUGUGUACAUUUAUUUUAAAAAACACAAUUCAAUUGAUUGAAAAGGUCUACAAUGCUGACUGAAGCAUCCGCUUGCCCUUACAUUACCUUUUUAUAUUUGUUAAAAAAGAUAUCAACCGAAUAAAACAUAUCCAUCCAAUUUCUA